GACGAACGCUGGCGGCGUGCUUAACACAUGCAAGUCGAGCGGUAAGGCCCUUUCGGGGGUACACGAGGCGGCGAACGGGUGAGUAACACGUGGGUGACCUGCCUCAGCUCUGGGAUAAGCCUGGGAAACCGGGUCGUAAUAACUGGAUAUGACUCCAUGACGCAUGUUGGUGGGGUGGAAAGCCUUAGUGUCGGCUGGAGGAGUGGGCCCGCGGCCUAUCAGUCUU
RNAcentral lists this ribosomal RNA (226 nucleotides) under uncultured bacterium. Its description in RNAcentral is "partial 16S ribosomal RNA". It matches the Rfam family "Bacterial small subunit ribosomal RNA", at positions 28 to 248 of the family's 1533-position model. The record is from RNAcentral.